RNAcentral lists this ribosomal RNA (309 nucleotides) under uncultured eukaryote. RNAcentral's name for it is "partial 18S ribosomal RNA". It matches the Rfam family "Eukaryotic small subunit ribosomal RNA", at positions 1470 to 1796 of the family's 1831-position model. The record is from RNAcentral.
CCCUUAGAUGUUCUGGGCGGCCCGCGCACUACAUUGGCACUCUCAAUGAGUUCCUAGAUCUAAAACUUUGGGGUAUUCUAUUAAGUGGUGUCGUGACUGGGAUUAACCCUUGCAAUUAUUGGUUACGAACGAGGAAUUCCUUGUAAUCGCGGUUUAUCAGCCCGCGUUGAAUGCGUCCCUGCCCUUUGUACACACCGCCCGUCGCUCCUACCGAUGAAUCGUCCGGUGAAGUUCAUGGAGUGGUGGUUGUUCCAGCUGCUGUCGAAGUGAAAUGGACCUCACGAUUUAGAGGAAGGAGAAGUCGUAACA